CUACGGGCGGCAGCAGUGAGGAAUAUUGCACAAUGGGGGGAACCCUGAUGCAGCAACGCCGCGUGGAGGAUGACGCAUUUCGGUGUGUAAACUCCUUUUAUAUGUCAAGAAAAUGACGGUAGCAUAUGAAUAAGCACCGGCUAACUCCGUGCCAGCAGCCGCGGUAAUACGGAGGGUCAAGCGUUACUCGGAAUCACUGGGCGUAAAGGACGCGUAGGCGGGUUGGAAAGUCAGGUGUGAAAUCCUACAGCUUAACUGUAGAACUGCACUUGAAACUUCUAAUCUAGAGUAUGGGAGGGGGAGAUGGAAUUAGUGGUGUAGGGGUAAAAUCCGUAGAUAUCACUAGGAAUACCUAAAGCGAAGGCGAUCUCCUGGAACAUUACUGACGCUAAGGCGUGAAAGCGUGGGGAGCAAACAGGAUAGAUACCCCGUAGUC
Molecule: ribosomal RNA, 436 nt
Filed under: uncultured bacterium
Lineage: Bacteria
Description: partial 16S ribosomal RNA
Rfam family: Bacterial small subunit ribosomal RNA
Source: RNAcentral